ACGCUCUCAUAGCUUCACUCUGGAAGAAUUUAAGAGACCUUAAAGUCAUAAAAUAUAACCUCCCAGAGAACCAACCUACGCUGAGUAUUGGCAGCAUUAACAGUAACAGAACUUAUUGGUCUUAUAAUCAGAAAAUCCGAGGAGCUCCUCUGGUUCGUCCUAUCACCGUCCAGUCUCAACAAAACACAUCCACUCGUGCUCGUUCAAACGUGGCCAUCUGGUGGUCCAAACAACACGAGGGGGAGAAUGACGUCACUACGCCAUGUUUCACCCAAACACAUGAAAGGACAUCGACCUCUCAGCACCGCUUUGCAAAGUUUGAAGCAGAUCACAUGAAGGGUUGUCCAGAAAAGCAAUUCUUUGAUUUAGCAGAGAAACCGGUCAGUAGGAAAGAUCCAUGGAGAUGAAGGAAAUGUGAAUAACAGCUACGGACAGGAAAGAAAUGCAUCAAUCGUUUUAAUAUUUGGAAACCAGAAAAGCUCCGAUCUGGAAAAUCUGGGAUCCAGAAGACGCUCGGAUUUCAUCGCCACUCAUCAUGUUAAGUUCCUAUCUUCAUGCCUCCACUCCUGGGCUCCUGACCCCGCUGGCUAUGAAACUUGACUGAUCCCACUCAGGAAUUUGCCCUAUAUCACAAGAGCUGGGGCCCAUUGGAGAAGCGAAUCACAUGACCAGUAUGUAGGUAUAAUGAAGAUGGACGGGCUGCAGAGAGCGCUGACAGUACAAGUCACAUUCCUCAGGCUGCUUCUCACUCACACAUCCCCACAUGCUUAUAUCACUGUGGUAUGCUUUACUUGAUGAGCUUCAUCCUAACCUAUUCAGUGUAUUCAAACUUUUCCCCUUCAAUAUGCAGAAAAAGUCACAAACAUACUUCAGUUAUGCCGUGAUUGUGUUAUUAACAUGAUCGUGCGUGGACCCCGAUGGAGGGGAAAGAGGCCGACACUCUUUUCACACUGUUUCUCCAUCUGUGAAGAGAAAACGCCACCCUGCUUUUGACAAGUGUGUGCGCUUAUGCUUGCUUUCUGUUAAUUAGCUCUCGGUGUCUGCCUGCAUGUGGACUUUUAUUUGGUGACGCAGAGUAAAGUUUGCUAAUCAAGUCAAACACUGCGCUGCUGUGGUGGAGGCUUUCAAAAAUGUGCAGAACAAUCAAACCACCAGCUUUCAAGCCAGAUAAUGGCGACCACGUUACAGUAUAGAAAGGCUCACACUGGUUUCCUCACUAAGACCACACACAGCUCCAGUGUCAUGUCUCUGCUUCUUUUCCUUCUGAUUAACAUUACAGGAAGCUUUGGGAAAAUGUGAUGCCAAGGUUUGCUGUUUAUUCAGGAUAUAUAUUAAAAGUGUUUUUUGCAGCUUUGGAAAAGCAUGAAUUCAAAGAACCACAAAAAUGGUGAACUGGCAGCUGAGCAACAUCUCUCAAGAGUUCAACGAGUCUAUUACUGACACGAGCAGACACACAAAGCACCAAAUAUUGACUUUUUCAAGAGCCCGUCCUUCUUUAGCGCUGGGCUGGCAGAGCAAACGGCUGGACUGCCACAGCACUGUCUUUCAUCCUAACAACCCCUCAUGUCCCACCCCCGGGCCUCUGUCUGCUUGUACACCUACAGCACUGCUUUCUCCAUGUGGGGGGCCUGCAUCACUUCAAAGCGCCCUGUGUUGGAGCUCCAGUUGGGUGACAAACAGCUACAGCCCAGCUGAGCAGGAUCACACUUGUCAGUGCAAAGGAAACACAUGCUGGAGAGUGACUGUGGCUAGAGUGGCUACUUGUGGUUUGGACCAAGGGAGUGACUGAAUAAGAUUGCAUGUCCAUAUACUCAAACAUAAAGGCAGAACGUGCAUUUAUGUGAGUGCAUGCAGGCUUUGCUAGCCUUAAAAGAGAAAGAAGUUUGGCAGAUGUGCAAAGGAAGAUUCACAGAUCUUUGUAAAAAGAAAAAAAUACAAGCAACAAGCUCAU
Long non-coding RNA from Oreochromis aureus, 1951 nucleotides. RefSeq lists it as uncharacterized. The record is from RefSeq and is a predicted model, not a curated record. The transcript has 5 exons. Lineage: Eukaryota; Metazoa; Chordata; Actinopteri; Cichliformes; Cichlidae.